UGACCCCAGAAGGCACACGCGGCUUACCGUGGCCUUCUAGGCCUGGCCGCCAUAAACCCGCCCGCCAACUGCUUCCCACCGACCCAGAAAGCACACCUCUUUGGGCGUUCCAACGCGGCGCCCCCUA
This 127-nucleotide long non-coding RNA is filed under the name Meriones unguiculatus (Mongolian gerbil). RNAcentral's name for it is "GNAS antisense RNA 1 conserved region 5 (ENSMUGG00000017933.1)". It matches the Rfam family "GNAS antisense RNA 1 conserved region 5". The record is from RNAcentral. Lineage: Eukaryota; Metazoa; Chordata; Mammalia; Rodentia; Muridae.